UGACGGCCUUCGGGUUGUAAACCGCUUUCGCCAGGGACGAAGCGUGAGUGACGGUAAUGGGUAAAGAAGCACCGGCUAACUACGUGCCAGCAGCCGCGGUGAUACGUAGGGUGCGAGCGUUGUCCGGAUUUAUUGGGCGUAAAGGGCUCGUAGGUGGUUGAUCGCGUCUGAAGUGUAAUCUUGGGGCUUAACCCUGAGCGUGCUUUCGAUACGGGUUGACUUGAGGAAGGUAGGGGAGAAUGGAAUUCCUGGUGGAGCGGUGGAAUGCGCAGAUAUCAGGAGGAACACCGGUGGCGAAGGCGGAUCUCUGGGCCUUUCCUGACGCUGAGGAGCGAAAGCGUGGGGAGCGAACAGGCUUAGAUACCCUGGUAGUCCACGCUGUAAACGGUGGGUACUAGGUGUGGGGUCCAUUCCACGGGUUCCGUGCCGUAGCUAACGCUUUAAGUACCCCGCCUGGGGAGUACGGCCGCAAGGCU
RNAcentral lists this ribosomal RNA (476 nucleotides) under uncultured bacterium. RNAcentral's name for it is "bacterial SSU rRNA". It matches the Rfam family "Bacterial small subunit ribosomal RNA", at positions 409 to 895 of the family's 1533-position model. The record is from RNAcentral.